CCUACGGGAGGCAGCAGUAGGGAAUCUUCCACAAUGGACGAAAGUCUGAUGGAGCAACGCCGCGUGAGCGAUGAAGGCCUUCGGGUCGUAAAGCUCUGUUGUUAGGGAAGAACAAGUACCGGAGUAACUGCCGGUACCUUGACGGUACCUAACCAGAAAGCCACGGCUAACUACGUGCCAGCAGCCGCGGUAAUACGUAGGUGGCAAGCGUUGUCCGGAAUUAUUGGGCGUAAAGCGCGCGCAGGCGGUCCUUUAAGUCUGAUGUGAAAGCCCACGGCUCAACCGUGGAGGGUCAUUGGAAACUGGGGGACUUGAGUACUGAAGAGGAAAGUGGAAUUCCACGUGUAGCGGUGAAAUGCGUAGAGAUGUGGAGGAACACCAGUGGCGAAGGCGACUUUCUGGUCAGUAACUGACGCUGAGGCGCGAAAGCGUGGGGAGCAAACAGGAUUAGAUACCCUGGUAGUCCACGCCGUAAACGAUGAGUGCUAAGUGUUAGGGGGUUUCCGCCCCUUAGUGCUGCAGCUAACGCAUUAAGCGCUCCGCCUGGGGAGUACGGCCGCAAGGCUGAAACUCAAAGGAAUUGACGG
RNAcentral lists this ribosomal RNA (587 nucleotides) under uncultured bacterium. RNAcentral describes it as "bacterial SSU rRNA". It matches the Rfam family "Bacterial small subunit ribosomal RNA", at positions 338 to 916 of the family's 1533-position model. The record is from RNAcentral.